UAUAGAUACCACCUCUCUGCAAACAGACAGUGAUAAGAUAAUAAAUAUAUAUGUUUUGCUUUUCCCUUAAUUCACUUUUUUUUUUGUUUUAGUCUAAGAUUAGUCAUAAUGGAAGGCAAAUGGUUCGUAAGUGUGCCAAGUGGCCAGCGUCUGGACAACAGGCAUGGCUCUGCAUUAAUGUGCCUCAGCGUGGCAUUUCCUGGCAUAAAAUAACACUUCAAAACUCUGCCUGUCUGCUACAUGCCUGAUCUUAUCAAGUUUAUCUUUCGUGGAGGUGGAGAUAGGCAUCUGGAGGCCAAUUAUUCUCAAAGCCUCUAAUGUAAACACACUGCCUUUUUUGCCAGCCUCCCCUUUUUGAAAGCCCUCUCACACACACAACGAGCCUGGGGAGGCAUGGGAAAUAAGCGCAUGUGUGUGAGAGAGAGGGUGUGUGUGUGUGUGUGUGUGUGUGUGUGUGUGUGUGUGUGGGGGAGUGAGCGAGAGAGCGAGUGAGAGUGUUUACAUUUCCCCCAGAGCUUAUCACUGUUGGCAUGUUAGAUGGAGGAGUUCUGUCUCACCUUGAACUUGCUGGUGUCUGGGAAAGGCCCUUGCUCUGGGUAAGAUAAGCCCAUAUCCUGCCAUCCCCACCCCCCUUCCAUGUUCCUACUGCUGCCUGAACACUGUCAUGGGGGGCAUGGGCCCUGCCGUGAACACUCCCCUGCACGCAUGAGAAAUCUCAGCUCAGUCGCUGCAUCUCUCGCCCACCGGCCCCCUCAGUCAUGUUAUCCUCUUUCAUGUGUUUUUCCACCACACUGUUUUCAGGUCAGUUUUUGUUUCACCCUCACUUACACCGUCUCUCCUGACGUGCAUAUCUUGCAUGCAGAUUCUAUCUGUCUCUUUCAUCUCCUUUGUUGAGCCCUCCACCACUUUCUCCCCCUCCCCCCCGUCUCUCUCUGUGGCACACACCACUCCGGUCCAUCUAAAUGCAGCUCCAUUAUAUUUAGUCUUAUUUAUGUUGCCUAAAAAGCCCCGUGUCACCCCCCU
This is a long non-coding RNA of Clupea harengus (Atlantic herring), 1023 nucleotides long. Lineage: Eukaryota; Metazoa; Chordata; Actinopteri; Clupeiformes; Clupeidae. The record is from Ensembl.